UAGAUUGAAACGUAUAGGGAAAAUAUUACUUUAUCACCCGAUAUAAAGUUUAAAUUUGACCCUCAAACGCAAAGCACAUAAAUCAAAGAAUUAAAUAAUAUGGCAUUAAAUGCAUGAUUUGACCUCAUAAAUAUAGGCAUAAUCAACUUACCAGUCAACUUAUUUACAACAAGGUACAACGCUUGAAGGUUCGUCAAGUUCCCAAUUUCUCUCGGCACAAAUCCAGUGAAAGUGUUGUUGUACAAAGAAAGAUACUCAAGCUGUGAACACUGCCCCAAACUCGAUGGUAUUUCCCCAUACAACUCGUUGUAAGAUAUACGAAGCCUCUUGAGUCUAUGCAGAUUGUGUGUGCACAUAUCAAGAGGUAAACUACUAGACAAACUAUUAUUCUUUAGUUCCAAAACUUCUAGAAAUGACAUGUUGAAGAUAGAUGGGGGAAUGGGGCCAUGAAAAGAGUUGUGACUCGCAUUUAAAGAGACAAGGAAAGAAAGAUUCCCGAUUUCUGGUGGGAGGGUUCCGACAAGACCCAUGUACGAUAUAUUCAACUGAGUCACCCUAUUGUAGUGUGAAUCACAAGUAACUCCGAUCCAACUGCAAACACCGGCUUCAGUGCUCCAAUUUUGGGUCAAUAUAUUUUGAGGAUCUAAAGUGAUUUGAGAUUUUAAGGCGAGAAGUGAAGAACGAUCGGUGUUGAUAUAUAUCGUGUUUGGCUGAGCUAUAAUCCAUCAAAUAAUGGAUUGGUAAGAGUAGUGCAAGGAUGAGAAAAUGGGAAGAAACUCUCUCCAUAUCGCAAAUGCAGAGUGCUAAUUGUAGUUGUGUGCGCAGACAAGAAGCCUAGCUCAUGCCAUUUAUAUAGCCAUUAUUUUUUUGACUAAUCUGCGCAACAGUACAAGUCAUUAUUUUGUCUGGAAGUUUCGUUUACCUAUUGAUUAGGCAACAAAUUUUUAUUUACAAUUUUAACUAUAUUUUUUGAGUUAAUUACACCUNUUUUUUCUGUUUUUUAUAUUAAAUAAGAAGUAAGAUAUUUUGUAAUGGAUUAAAUUGAACUAAUCUAUAUACUAAUAUAAAAAGAGUCUUGGGCAUAACAUGUGAAUUGUCUAUUUUACUCUCAUUACAUUUUUUAUUUUAAGGUUAUUUUACAUAUUAUAUAUUUCUAAGAAUAUAUUAAUUCAUCAAAUAUUAUACUAAAACUAUGUGAUAUAUAUAUCUAUAGCGAUUGGUAAGGCUUAUAAAUAAAUAAAUCUAUCAAAUAAAUUAUAUUUAGUAGAAGUAAUGUACUUAUAGAUUUUCUAAAAAAAAAUGUUGUAAGAAAUAAUAGAAUUAAAUAAAUCAAAUUGGUAAUUAAAAAAUUAAAUAUAAUAAAUAUUAUAUUUUAACUAGUUAAUUCGAGUCAAGCCAAUUGCAGAAUGAAACUAAAUCAAAUAUAGCCACAUAUCUUUGGUCCCUUUAAUGGAAAAUGAAAGAAGCUUCUCUAAUCAAUUCUAACUUCAUCUUUUUUGACUAAUCUGCGCAACAGUACAAGUCAAUAUUUUGUCUGCAAGUUUCAAAUUAGAUUCGAAAUUUGGGAAAUGCAUUAAGUCACCUUUUAUUGUGGACAUAGAGACGUAUACUAGAAUUAAUUUGCGUAUUUAAUGGUUUGAUCUUGAUAUUGUCACAUUAACUUUUUUGGAGAUAACUGAUUGAAAGGGAAAUUUAAUUGAUAAUUUCCAAGUGCAGCCCAUGCCUUACACGUCGGGAAUAGAAUGGACUUUGAUUCAAGCAGAAGACUAAAUGUGCAUCACAUAUUAUGGAAUUAAUUUCUACGCAAAAUCAAGCAUCCAUAGCAUUUAAAAAAAAUAAAAAUUUUGCUUAGUUUGAGACGACAUUAAAAGUAAGAAUCCUCAUUUAAUUUAGAUUUUUCGACGAGAAAGUUGUGGCUGAAUAAAUUAUUCAAUACCCAUAGUCAUAGCAAGAGAUAAUCCCAAUAUUGUUUAAAAUUCAUUUUUAUCAAGUUGAUAUAUGUAUAUCAUUUACACUAAGAUGAAUUUCUCUUCCAUUUCAUUAAUAUAACGAUUGUAUUAUAAUUUUGGUAAAAGAAUAUAUAUUUUUUUUCUUUCAAAAAAGGAUCGAGAACGGUUCUCCAUUUUUGAAUUCCCCACCUAUUGGUUAAAAUUAUCCCCGACCUACAAGAAGUUGAUUGUGAAUUCACUACAAAAAAAACAGUUGAACUGCGACAAAAUUAAUGACGGAAAAUAAUUCCGUCUUAAAAUUACGACGAAUUAACAACGAUAUAUAUUUUCGACAAUUAACGAUAGAAAUUUACAUCGAAUUUACUAUGGAAAUUUUUUAACGAUGGAAUUAGCAACGGAAUUUCCGUCCUAAGUAUUUGCUACCGAAUUGUUCUGUAGUUAAAAGUAUAGAAUAAUUAAUUAUUUAAAUAAUUAAACAUUAACUAUGGAAUAUUUCCAUCGUUAAAAAUAAUGAAUAUUAAUUUUUUAUAUAAUUUAAAAUUAACUACGGAAAUUUCCGUCGUCAAAAAUGAAGAACAUUUAUAUAAUCUAAUUUUAGCACGGAACGUUUCCGUAAGAAUAUUAAUUAUUUACAUAAUCUAAUUCAUAAACCACACAUCAAAACACUUCAAGCUCCCAUUCACAAGCUCAAAAGCCAUAAUUGAGCAAAGUGAGAAAUUAGGGUUUAUUCAAAAUUCUCCGCUUAUUAUUAUUAUUAUUAUUAUUAUAGGAAUCAACUUACCAGUCAACUUAUUUGCACUAAAUUGUUGUUGUACAAAGACAGAAACUCAAGCUGUGAACACUGCCCCAAACUCGAUGGUAUUUCCCCAUACAACUCGUUGUAAGAUAUACGAAGCCUCUUGAGUCUAUGCAGAUUGUGUAUGCACAUAUCAAGAGGUAAACUACCAGACAAACUAUUAUUCCAUAGAUCCAAAACUUCUAGAAAUGACAUGUUGAAUAUAG
Molecule: long non-coding RNA, 2951 nt
Filed under: Salvia miltiorrhiza (redroot sage)
Lineage: Eukaryota; Viridiplantae; Streptophyta; Magnoliopsida; Lamiales; Lamiaceae
Description: long non-coding RNA (SMIL_LNC008177)
Source: RNAcentral